UACAUACUCCCUUCGUUCAGAAUUACUUGUCGUAAAAAUGGAUGUAUCUACAACUAAAAUACAUCUAGAUAUAUUCAUUUUUUGGACAAGUAAUUUCGAACGGAGGGAGUACAUA
This is a non-coding RNA of Triticum aestivum (bread wheat), 115 nucleotides long. The record is from Rfam. NCBI's taxonomy places the organism in Eukaryota, Viridiplantae, Streptophyta, Magnoliopsida, Poales, Poaceae.